AAAGCUGAAACUUAUGUGGAAGAAUCCUGGGGGUAGAGUAGAUUCUAAAUUGUUAAAAUCAUGACCCUUGGUGGUACGGUGAGGCUAAAUAGGGAAUCCAAGUUUUACGUUGACAUACAUAGGAAAAAUCUUCUCAAGAACCACUGGGACAAAAAAGCUGAAACUUAUGUGGUAACAUCCUGGGAUAGUGUAGAUUCAAAAUUAAUUAAAUUAUGGCCCUCAGGGGUAGGGCGGGCCACAAUUGGGAAUUCCAAAUUUUACAUUAAGUUAAAUAUAGGAAAAACUCCCUUCUCAAGAACUACAAAGCCAGAAAAGCUGAAACUAAGUUGCAAGCAUUCUUCGAUAGUGUAGAUUCUGAAUUGCUAAAAUCAUGACCCUUGGGGGUAGGGUGGGGCCAAAAAUCCAAGUUUACAUUGAAGUAUAUAGGAAAAAAUCUUCUCAAGAACCACAUAGCCAAAAAAGCUGAAAUUUAUGUGGAAACAUCCUGUGAUAAUGUUGAUUCUAAAUUCUUAAAAUCAUGGCCCUCGGGGUCAGGGCGGGGCCACAAUAGAGAAUCCCAAGUUUUGCAUUGAAACAUAUAGAAUCUUAAAAAAACCUUCUCAAAAACAGUUUAAUGGAGAAGCAUCCUGGGGUAGUGUACAUUCUAAAUUUUCCAAAUCAUGACCCCUGGGGGAAUGGUUAGGCCACAAUAGGUAUUACAAGGGGAAAUCUGGUAAAGAACAGCUUUGCCAAAGUUACAAAGGUGCGCGAUGUGGCCCAUGGGCCUCUUGUUUUUGCUAACCUGAGCCUACGGGCUCAAGUGAGCUUUUCUGGUCAAAUUUUGUAUUGUCUGUCCAGCCGUCUGUAAACUUUUCACAAUUUCGACUUCUUCUCAAGAACCACUGGGCCAAUUUUAACCAAACUUGGUACAAAGCAUUCUUGGGUGAAGGGGAGUUUAAGUUAUUAAAAUGAAGGGGGAGAUAAUUAUGAUUUCGUGAAAAAUUAAUGGCAUUUUUAAAAAAUCUUCUCAAGAACCACUGGGCCAGGAAAGAUGAAACUCAUGUGGAAUCAUCUUCAGGUAGUGUAGAUUCAAGUUUGUUCAAAUCAUGACCCCCGGGCAUAGUGUGGGGCCACAAUGGCCGAUCAAAGUUUUACAUAGAAAUAUAGAGGAAAAUUCUUCAAAAAACUUCUUAAGAGUAGCAAAGCAAUGAUAGGUCAUAUUUAUAUGGAAGCAUCCUCAGGUAGUGUAGAAUUAAGUUUGUUCAAAUCAUGACCCCUGGGGGUAGGGCGGGGCAACAAUGGCCGACCAAAGUUUUACAUAGAAAUAUAUAGGAAAAUUCUUUCAAAAUCUUCUACUCAAGAAUAACCAAAGCUAUGAUUGGUCAUAUUUAUAUGGAAGCAUCCUCAGGUAGUGUAGAUUCAAGUUUGUUCAAAUCAUGACCCUUGGGGGUAGGGCGGGGCCACAAUGGCCGACCAAAAUUUUACAUAGAAAUAUAUAGAAAAAUUCUUUAAAAAUCUUCUUCUCAAGAAUAAUAAAGCCAUGAUUGAUCCUAUUUAUAUGGAAGCAUCCUCAGGUAGUGUAGAUUCAAGUUUGUUUAAAUCAUGACCCCCGGGGGUAAGGGCGGGGCCACAAUGGCCGACCAAAGUUUUACAUAGAAAUAUAUAGAAAAAUUCUUUAAAAAUCUUUUAGGGAUGUCAAUUUUAUUCGGACAGCUUAGUCGAAUAGUCAGAGGCUUUAGUUGAAUGAUAGUCGAAUAUUCGUUGAUAUUUUAAUUAUUUUUAUUUUUUCAUGUCAUUUUCAAUGUUUGCCAUUUAUAACAAGUUGUACAAUAUUUAACCUACCGGUAUAUAUACUAUCACCAUUACGCGAAUUUUUGAAUUGUAAACAAUUACAUUCUACAAUAAAUACAUACACAUGUU
Molecule: long non-coding RNA, 1899 nt
Organism: Saccostrea cuccullata (small rock oyster)
Lineage: Eukaryota; Metazoa; Mollusca; Bivalvia; Ostreida; Ostreidae
Exons: 2
Source: RefSeq, a predicted model, not a curated record